Molecule: ribosomal RNA, 253 nt
Filed under: uncultured bacterium
Lineage: Bacteria
Description: partial 16S ribosomal RNA
Rfam family: Bacterial small subunit ribosomal RNA
Source: RNAcentral
UACAGAGGGGGCAAGCGUUGUUCGGAAUUACUGGGCGUAAAGGGCGCGUAGGCGGCCAACUAAGUCGGACGUGAAAUCCCCGGGCUCAACCCGGGAACUGCGUCCGAUACUGGAUGGCUUGAAUCCGGGAGAGGGAUGUGGAAUUCCAGGUGUAGCGGUGAAAUGCGUAGAUAUCUGGAGGAACACCGGUGGCGAAGGCGGCAUCCUGGACCGGUAUUGACGCUGAUGCGCGAAAGCCAGGGGAGCAAACGGG